GAGGGAGUCCGGUGAUCCCUGGAGUGGAACGCGCGGCCGUGGGAGGUUCCCGCGAGGUGGCCGGGAAUGGCCGCCACGUGGGCCCGGGGGAACCGCAGCGGCCGGUGCAGGCGACAGCUAGGCGGGAGCGGCUAGCCGAGUGCUUAGGGGAGAAGGGGAGUGACGGCACCCGCGGUUAGGGGAGAGCAACAGAGAACUGAGCGCCAAAAGCUGGGGGCGCGGCGGGGCCCCAGAAGGCGACGGCCAGGCUGGCUGUGAACACAGCCCUGGGCUCUGAAACGCGACCGGGAAAGGGCCAACUACGCGUAGAGAGAGGGGAAGGAACCAUCCGACUGGAGCGCGGGAAGAGCUCGGGCCUGGGGGUGGUGCCACCGUGCUUGGCGCGUUCCUGUAUCCUGGUUGCGCGUAGGUCUCCAUCAGUUGGCCAAUUUGUAUUCGACUGUCUGAGCAUCUGUCAGUCUACCUCUGUGUAUCUGAUCUUGGUCUCUGUGUGCUAGUUUUGAAUUUCUGUAUCUGUCUGCAUACCUGGUCCCUGUAUGAGUACCACUGGGUCUGUCCCCCGAGACUGCGUUGCGGCCUUUCAGGGGAAGGAUCUUAAACACUGCAACCGCAGCGCGCGCCAGAAUAGACUCCCCACAAACCCUAGGACCGCUGUUGGCGCCAAAAUCCAGACUCAAAGCGCCAGUCGCUCCACGCGGUUCCCUCAGCCUGGGAGGCUUGCUCUAGCUGGCAGUGUGGGAGAAAUGAAUGGCAGCGUCGCGGCGGGCGCCCUGGAUGCGGAUGACGCAGGGAAGCCCGGAGUGCCUGAGCAAGAGGCGCGCGCUAAUAAGCAUCAGCAGGGACAGGGUGUCCCCCGCCCUUGUUGCUGGGGCCUGGGGUAGAGUUCUCUCCCUCCCCUGAAAAGAACACGCACACUUCCUUUCACCUCUUGCGCCCCCCGCCCCCCCACAAACCCCGCCCCUGCCCUGCUAGCAGUCAGCUGCAGCGUCACCCGCUCUCUGGCGCGAGAGGGCUCUGGCGCAAUCACUGGCCUUGGGAGGGAGGGUGUGUCUCACAUUCACUCACAGUGACGGGCUGGUAAAGACAAUAAUGACGCUAUUGCUUUUGCCCAUGCUCCAAGCAAGACACCUUCCCUUUAGUCCCGCCAAAUCACGCUAGUGAGAUUGCUGGGUUGCUGAUUUUUCUCCCUUCGGGUGUUUAAUGCAAAGGUCUCUGCUGUCAGGACUCUGAACAGGGCCUGUGGGAUAGGGAAGAGGAGUGAUUGAGAUUACCUCUGGGGUGUAGCCUAACAGGGGUUCCUUCUAACACUCCUGUACGCCAUCUUUUUGGCUGGGAGGAAUGGUCCCCAACUGAGCCCUGGGGUGAGAAAGACUGACCCUGACAUCUGAAAGGAAGGACAGAAUAACUCUGGGUGAUCAGAUUGUCCAAAACACCUCCUUCCCCUGGAAGUUGCACAGCUAUGACUUUCAAUCCAGAAUCUGCCAUUUUCUGAAUGACCUUGAAUUGAAGGCCCAAUAAUCGUGUUUUUAAAAAUCAUUUGUGUUGGUCCUGGUGGAGUUGGCCAUUCAUCUCUGUGAUCAGUCAGGCUGAUCUCUGUGAGUCUGAGGCCAGCUGCAUCUACACAGUAAGUUCAGGGCUACAUAAUGAGACCUUGUCCAAAAACAAACAAAAAUCAUUGCUACUUAUAUAACUUUAGAAAAAUAAAGCCACCAAAAUCUUAGCAGUAUACUCUUCAUCUUCCC
This 1742-nucleotide long non-coding RNA is filed under the name Mus musculus (house mouse). RNAcentral's name for it is "long non-coding RNA chr16:20621533-20623275". The record is from RNAcentral. Lineage: Eukaryota; Metazoa; Chordata; Mammalia; Rodentia; Muridae.